UGGGGAAUUUUGGACAAUGGGCGAAAGCCUGAUCCAGCAAUGCCGCGUGUGUGAAGAAGGCCUUCGGGUUGUAAAGCACUUUUGUCCGGAAAGAAAUCCUUGGCUCUAAUACAGUCGGGGGAUGACGGUACCGGAAGAAUAAGCACCGGCUAACUACGUGCCAGCAGCCGCGGUAAUACGUAGGGUGCAAGCGUUAAUCGGAAUUACUGGGCGUAAAGCGUGCGCAGGCGGUUUGCUAAGACCGAUGUGAAAUCCCCGGGCCCAACCUGGGAACUGCAUUGGUGACUGGCAGGCUAGAGUAUGGCAGAGGGGGGUAGAAUUCCACGUGUAGCAGUGAAAUGCGUAGAGAUGUGGAGGAAUACCGAUGGCGAAGGCAGCCCCCUGGGCCAAUACUGACGCUCAUGCACGAAAGCGUGGGGAGCAAACAGGAUUAGAUACCCUGGUAGUCCACGCCCUAAACGAUGUCAACUAGUUGUGGGGAUUCAUUUCCUUAGUAACGUAGCUAACGCGUGAAGUUGACCGCCUGGGGAGUACGGUCGCAAGAUUAAAAACUCAAAUGAAUUGACGGGGUC
RNAcentral lists this ribosomal RNA (572 nucleotides) under uncultured bacterium. RNAcentral describes it as "partial 16S ribosomal RNA". It matches the Rfam family "Bacterial small subunit ribosomal RNA", at positions 355 to 920 of the family's 1533-position model. The record is from RNAcentral.